RNAcentral lists this ribosomal RNA (481 nucleotides) under uncultured bacterium. RNAcentral's name for it is "bacterial SSU rRNA". It matches the Rfam family "Bacterial small subunit ribosomal RNA", at positions 329 to 799 of the family's 1533-position model. The record is from RNAcentral.
GAGAUAACUCCUACGGGAGGCAGCAGUGGGGAAUUUUGGACAAUGGGGGCAACCCUGAUCCAGCAAUGCCGCGUGAGCGAAGAAGGCCUUCGGGUUGUAAAGCUCUUUUGUCAGGGAAGAAACGGUAGUAGCUAAUAUCUAUUACUAAUGACGGUACCUGAAGAACAAGCACCGGCUAACUACGUGCCAGCAGCCGCGGUAAUACGUAGGGUGCAAGCGUUAAUCGGAAUUACUGGGCGUAAAGCGUGCGCAGGCGGUUGUGUAAGUCAGAUGUGAAAUCCCCGGGCUCAACCUGGGAAUUGUAUUUGAGCCUGCAAGGCUAGAGUGUGUCAGAGGGGGGUAGAAUUCCGCGUGUAGCAGUGAAAUGCGUAGAUAUGUGGAGGACUACCGAUGGCGAAGGCAGCCCCCUGGGAUAUCACUGCCGCUCAUGCACGAAAGCGUGGGGAGCAAACAGGAUUAGAAACCCUUGUAGUCAUCCACU